This 468-nucleotide ribosomal RNA is filed under the name uncultured bacterium. Its description in RNAcentral is "partial 16S ribosomal RNA". It matches the Rfam family "Bacterial small subunit ribosomal RNA", at positions 28 to 507 of the family's 1533-position model. The record is from RNAcentral.
GACGAACGCUGGCGGCGUGCCUAAUACAUGCAAGUCGAGCGGACAGGCCCUGCUCUUGUUCGGUGCUCGAGUGGCGAACGGGUGAGUAACACGCGAGUAACCUCCCCUUGACAUUGGGAUAACUUCUGGAAACUGGGGCUAAUAUCGGAUAUGAUCUCCUGCUGCAUGUGGGGGGUUGGAAAGUUUCGGCUGUUGGGGAUGUACUCGCGGGUUAUCAGCUUGUUUGGGAGGUAGUGGCGGACCAAGGGUUUGACGGAUAGCCGGCCUGAGAAGGUGACCGGGCACAAUGGGACUGAGAGACGGCGCAGACGGCUACGGGAGGCAGAAGUGGGGAGUAUUGCGGAAUGGGCGGAAGCGUGAGGCGGCAGCGCCGGGUGCGGGAUGACGGCCUACGAGUGAUAAACCGCUGUGGCAUGUGACGAAGCGGGAGUGACGGUAAUGGGUAAGGAAGCACCGGCUAACUACGUG